This is an RNA transcript of Spinacia oleracea (spinach), 3040 nucleotides long. RefSeq lists it as uncharacterized. NCBI's taxonomy places the organism in Eukaryota, Viridiplantae, Streptophyta, Magnoliopsida, Caryophyllales, Amaranthaceae. The record is from RefSeq and is a predicted model, not a curated record. The transcript is spliced from 5 exons.
AGUCUAUACACAUUACACGGCAUACACCCCCUCUGUCCUCUACUUCCCCUUUUCGUUCCAAAUAGCUAAAACAAUACAUAUCCCAAAAAACCCAAUUGACUUCCACAUUCCUUCUCCAUACAUACCUUCAAAGUCCAUCUCGUCUCCAACUUCUUUCCCGGCGUCCAUGGCUGACGAGUAACUGCAAGUUCUCUAAGGUCAACAACCACAAGGUUCACAACCAUGGAGACAAUGCCAGAGGUAGUUAAUGAGCUAGAAACACCCACAAACACAAGCUAAUGUGCAUUGUCAUCUAGUUGACAACAUCCCAAUUCUUCCUGAAACACAGGCUUUUAAGGGAAACAGGAGUACAAUCUGGAAGGAAUACAUGAAGCUUGACUCGUCAGAAACUAAAGAUAGGGCAAUUUGCAAACAUUUCAAGACCGCCUCUUUCAUCGCCAACUCACAUUAUGGAACUUCCAAUAUGAGAAAUCAUAUCCAGAAGUAUGAACAUUAUCUUGCAUACGUUCAACGUUCGAAUACUGACGGAAAAAUAAGUUCUAUUUACGACCAAAAGGUAUACAGGGAGUUGAUAUCUAUAGCCAUUAUAAAACAUGGAUAUGCCUUUUCUUGAGUCGAGCAUGAGGGUAAUAGGAAAAUUCAUGCAUAUUUGAAUCAUCAAGUAAGAAGUAUUUGUAGAAACACUGCUAAAGCUGAUUGUUUAAAAAUGCAUAAAAGUUUAAAAGUUAAAUUGAAGGAAACUCUUAGUAAUGUAUCUGGUCGUAUCUCUUUGACUUGUGAUAUGUGGACUUCUUGUCAAACUGAAGGUUAUUUGUGUCUCACUGCUCAUUAUGUGGAUGCUAAUUGGAAGUUAGUUAGUAAAGUUUUGGAGUUUUGCCACAUUGAUACACCACACACUGGAAAAACAAUGUAUAGUGCUGUGUUAGCAUUGAUUCAAGAGUGGGGUAUCGAAAACAAGAUAUUUUGUUUCACAUUAGACAACGCCUCUAGCAACGAUAAAAUGCAAAAUUAUUUGAAAGAUACAUUGAAGGGACGAGGUGCUUUGUUACACAAUGGUGAAUUUUUUCAUGUUCGGUGUGCUGCACAUGUACUGAAUUUAAUAGUUAAGGAUGGACUUAAGGUCAUUGAACAUGCUGUUGUCAAGGUUAGAGAUGGUGUGAAGUACAUUAAGUGGUCUGAAACAAGAAAAAUACUUUUCGCGAUUGUGUUAAAUUAGCAAAGAUAGGAGAAACUAAAUCGUUGUGGCUUGAUGUAGCUACAAGAUGGAAUUCUACAUAUUUGAUGCUUGAAAGGGCUUCUCUAUAUCGUGAGGUUUUUAUGGAAAUGGUUAUAAAAGACUCCUCUUUCAAACGUUUCCCUAACUUUGAAGAGUGAGAGAAUCUUCAAAAAAUUCAAGAUGUUUUGGAACCCUUCUCUGAUAUAACCGAGUUAUUUUCGGGAAGUGAUUAUCCUACCUCAAAUUUGUAUUUUGUGAAUGUUUGGAAGAUUCUUAUGGUGUUGACCGAUUUGACAGGAAGCAAUGACGAGGUAUUAAAACAAAUGGCAAUAGAAAUGAAUAUCAAAUUUGAUAAGUAUUGGUUCAACUCGGAAGAGGAUGAUUAUAGCAUGUAAUUUACCUUUGUUGUAGUUCUUGAUCCUCGUUGCAAGCUUUCUAUUCUGAUGUUUUGUUAUGAAAGUUUGUAUGGGAAGGCAGUAACUAAGUUAAAAGUUUCUGAUGUCACACGCAAGUUAGAGAUAUUUUGCCAGGAAUAUACCCCGGAAGGCUCCCUCCCACCUGAAACACAAGCACACCAUAUGACAAUCACAAGCGUAAAUUUGACUAUUUUGCAACAUAUGACAACAAUGAAGUCGUACCUACUUAUGCUGGGAGAUCACAAUUGCAAGCUUAUCUUGGGGAUGCUAAAUUGGAAAGAACAGCUAAGCUUGACAUCUUAAAUUUUUGGAAAGAGAAUGAGAACAAGUAUGGAACACUUUCUCAUCUUGCUAGAGAUAUACUCACUGUUCCCCUCACAACUGUGGCUUUGGAAUCAACUUUUAGUGUAGGAGGUCGAGUUUUGAAUAAGUAUAGAAGUUCCACUCUUCCUGAACAUGUGGGGGCUUUGAUAACAUCUCGUAGUUGGUUGGUCGGUUAUGAAAUGAUUGAAGAUGAUGAUUGUGUUGGUUCCUUUGUGGAUUGGGCUACACCAAAAUCUUGUUCAUAAUCAACCUGAUGUUAAUAUGGUACAUUAGCUAAUUGUUACUAAUUUGAUGUUAAUAUGAUACAUUAGCUAAUAUAUUGUUACUAAUUAGAGGAAGUAGCAUCAUACUGGAGUUAUGGAGAUGUGACUUAAGAAAUUUAGGGUUGAAUUACUCUGACUUUUGGACAUAAUAUUUUGGUAUAAGUUGGAAUAGAACAUUGCUUAUGACUUUGGUCAUUUGCUUAGUUACUUAUCAAUUCUUAUCUGAUAAGUUAUAUUCUAUGUCAAAAUGGAAAUCUUGAAGAUAUGAUUUUUAAAUUUAUUUACCAUGUGCUAAUGUUGGUUUUAUUUCCAUUAUUUUCUUAUCAUUUGUUGAAUGAUCUUAUUUAAAUGAGCCAAAAAGAAGAUAAGAAUUACUAAACUAACAUAUCGAAGGAAUUAAAGGUUGAUGUAUGAACGUGAGAACUCUCGGACUUUUCAUUGGCAGUGUUACGUUGUGAUAAAAGUAAGGUGGUGUUGGGACUUGGGCUGAGAUUCAGUAAUCCAGCAUUCACACAAUUAUCUUUCUUCGUUUUCCCACCUUUUCCUGCAUUACCUGUGUCAAGCCACAACAGCUUCAGGACUCUGUCUGCUCUUCUUACUAUUUUGAUUUCCCUUGUUGUUAAAAUUCGUCUCGUUAACAUUGUUUUUUACUGCCGCCUUUGGUUGCAGAAUCACUGGGCUUUAUGGAGUUUAGCUUGUCUUCAUUAUUUGGAUCGAGUACAUGUAUUGUAACUGUUUAUUUUUACAAAGUCGCAACAAGUUUGUACCUUGUUAAAAACCUAGCUUUAGGUUUCUAUUAAUACGAGGAUUAUACUUUGUGU